UUCCGGUUGAUCCCGCCGGACCCCACUGCUAUCGGGAUGGGACUAAGACAUGCUAGUCGUGCGCUUCCAAGCCACGGUGGAGGCGCGGCGCACAGCUCAGUAGCACGUGGCUAACCUACCCUUGGGACGGAAACAACCCCGGGAAACUGGGGCUAAUUUCCGAUAGGUGAAGACUCCUGGAAUGGAUCUUCGCCCAAAAGGCGUUUAGACCAUGCUUCUAAGCGCUGCCCAAGGAUGGGGCCGCGGCCGAUCAGGUUGUUGGUGAGGUAACGGCUCACCAAGCCUUUAACCGGUUCGGGCCGUGAGAGCGGGAGCCCGGAGAUGGGCACUGAGACAAGGGCCCAGGCCCUACGGGGCGCAGCAGUCGCGAAAACUUCGCAAUACGCGGGAGCGUGACGGGGCCAUCCCGAGUGCCGUCCGCUGAGGAUGGCUUUUCCCCAGUGUAGAUAGCUGGGGGAAUAAGGAGAGGGCAAGUCUGGUGUCAGCCGCCGCGGUAAUACCAGCUCUCCGAGUGGUGGGGAUGUUUAUUGGGCUUAAAGCAUCCGUAGCUGGCUGGGCAAGUCCCCUGUUAAAUCUAACGAUUCAAUCGUUGGAUUGCGGGGGAUACUGCUCGGCUAGGGGGCGGGAGAGGCCGACGGUAUUCCCGGGGUAGGGGUGAAAUCCUAUAAUCCCGGGAGGACCACCAGUGGCGAAGGCUGUCGGCUAGAACGCGCCCGACGGUGAGGGAUGAAAGCUGGGGGAGCGAACCGGAUUAGAUACCCGGGUAGUCCCAGCUGUAAACGAUGCAGGCUAGGUGUUCGGGCGGCCACGUGCCGCUCGAGUGCCGCAGGGAAACUGUUAAAGCCUGCCGCCUGGGGAGUACGGCCGCAAGGCUGAAACUUAAAGGAAUUGGCGGGGGAGCACCACAAGGGGUGAAGCUUGCGGUUUAUUGGAGUCAACGCCGGAAAUCUCACGGGGCGACAGCAAA
RNAcentral lists this ribosomal RNA (967 nucleotides) under uncultured archaeon. RNAcentral's name for it is "bacterial SSU rRNA". It matches the Rfam family "Archaeal small subunit ribosomal RNA", at positions 1 to 946 of the family's 1478-position model. The record is from RNAcentral.